Molecule: transfer RNA, 68 nt
Filed under: Marmota monax (woodchuck)
Lineage: Eukaryota; Metazoa; Chordata; Mammalia; Rodentia; Sciuridae
Description: tRNA.Ala
Source: RNAcentral
GGUAUGUGGCUCAGUGGUAGAGUGCUUGCCUAGCAUAUGUGAGGCCCUGGGUUCAGUCGCCAGCACCA